Molecule: ribosomal RNA, 228 nt
Filed under: Giardia duodenalis
Lineage: Eukaryota; Fornicata; Diplomonadida; Hexamitidae
Description: Giardia intestinalis partial 18S ribosomal RNA
Source: RNAcentral
ACACAAGCCAUGCAUGCCCGCGCACCCGGGAGGCGGCGGACGGCUCAGGACAACGGUUGCACCCCCCGCGGCGGUCCCUGCUAGCCGGACACCGCUGGCAACCCGGCGCCAAGACGUGCGCGCAAGGGCGGGCGCCCGCGGGCGAGCAGCGUGACGCAGCGACGGCCCGCCCGGGCUUCCGGGGCAUCACCCGGUCGGCGCGGUCGCGGCGCGCCGAGGGCCCGACGC